Molecule: ribosomal RNA, 253 nt
Filed under: uncultured bacterium
Lineage: Bacteria
Description: partial 16S ribosomal RNA
Rfam family: Bacterial small subunit ribosomal RNA
Source: RNAcentral
UACGUAGGGUGCAAGCGUUGUCCGGAAUUAUUGGGCGUAAAGAGCUCGUAGGCGGUUUGUCGCGUCGGCUGUGAAAACUCGGGGCUCAACCCCGAGCCUGCAGUCGAUACGGGCAAACUUGAGUGCGGUAGGGGAGACUGGAAUUCCUGGUGUAGCGGUGAAAUGCGUAGAUAUCAGGAGGAACACCGGUGGUGUAAACGGCUUUCUGGACCAUAACUGACGCUGAGGCACGAAAGCGUGGGUAGCAAACAGG